GGGGCCGGGGCGCGGCUACCGCUCCCUGAGCCACGCCGGUGGUCUCCCGUUCCAUCGGUGGACCCCACCUCGGGCCGUGCUGCGGGCUCUCGGGGCGGCUACCAGGUCGGCUCCAAGGCUACACAAGCAGCAAGAAGAAAAGGAAAAACUCUGUUUUAUUAAAGCUCCAUUUGCCUAUCUACCUUGGUGGAGGGUCAAGAAAAGAUUUAUAACCUAUUUGCAGGUUUUUGGCUCCUGUUUGCAGCAUAGAAACCUCACAGACAAUAGGAAUUCAGACUCAGUGGUGUGGUGGAAGAUAAAAUAAUUUGGGUUAUUUCUGUGAUAACAUAAACAAUCUGGAAACUACUCCCAUUUGUGAGGGUAAAUCUCUAUUAUGAUACAUGGAAAAUAGGACAGAUGCUAAUUCAGGUAAGAAAAGGUCUUUAUACAAAUAUUUACCUUCAGACAGAAACGUUAAUGAAGAUGGAGAAGGAACAGCUACCAAGAAACUAGGGAUAGUAGGACACAAAAAACCUGGUAGUGAGUAUGAACCAGUCUGGUGCCUUGCCUCCAGAGGAGCAGCAACCUAGCAGAGCUACUGGACAACCAGCCCUGCACUUCCCUAGAGCACAGACCAGCUCACUAUGCAGCCACCAAGAGAUAAGCACCCAAGGAGAACCUACCAGCCAUGGAUCCUCAGAAAACAGACCAGCUCAAUGCCCAGCCUUCAGGGGACAAGCAGCUGAGUAGGCAUACCAGCCACACAAACUUCUGCAGCCAAGGCCACUGAGGUACUUGCAGGCACCACUGACAUUAACUAUAGCUAAAGAAGCUGCAUGGAGACUAAACUACUGCAUCCACCAAGAACAAAAACAAAUGUACCUUACCCAAUUAACAUGCUAGGACACAUCUGCAGGUGUAAGUCUUUUCCGAUGAAAGCUACUCUACAACGUUAGAAAAGGUGAUUAUUCCAUCAGAUGCACAGAUGCCAGUGCAGGGAUACAAGAAACAUAAAAAAGCAAGGAAACAUGACACCACCAAAGAAACACAAUAAUUCUCUAGUAACUGACCUCAAUAAAAAAAUAAAAAUGUUUGAAUUGCCUGAAAAGGAAUUCAAGAUAGUGAGCUUAAGGAAACUUGUGAGACAUGAAAGAACACAAACAGAUCAUUCAACAAUCCUGAAAAACAAUUCAUGAUCUGAAUGAGAAAUUCAACAAAGAGAGAGAUAUCAUAAAAAAGAACCAAACAGAAAUCUUGUGGCCAAGGAAUUCAAUGAAGGAAAUAAAAAAUGCAAUUGAGAGCUUCAACAGCAAAAUAGGUCAAACAGAAGAAUUUUUGAACUUGAAAACAGGCCUUUUGAAAUAGUCCAGUCAGAG
RNAcentral lists this long non-coding RNA (1355 nucleotides) under Pongo abelii (Sumatran orangutan). RNAcentral's name for it is "lncRNA (ENSPPYG00000036933.1)". Lineage: Eukaryota; Metazoa; Chordata; Mammalia; Primates; Hominidae. The record is from RNAcentral.